This 97-nucleotide transfer RNA is filed under the name Aromia moschata. RNAcentral's name for it is "tRNA-OTHER". The record is from RNAcentral. Lineage: Eukaryota; Metazoa; Arthropoda; Insecta; Coleoptera; Cerambycidae.
GCCGCGGCGAUAGCUCAGUGGGUAAAGCGCCAGGUGAGAACGGGGCGAUUAUUCCGAGAACUAUUAUCCGCGCGGGUUCGAAUCCCCGCCUGUGGCA